AUUGAACGCUGGCGGUAUGCUUAACACAUGCAAGUCGAACGGUAACAGAGGAAAGCUUGCUUUCUUGCUGACGAGUGGCGGACGGGUGAGUAACGCGUGGGAAUCUACCUAGUAGUGGGGGAUAGCCAGAAGAAAUUCUGAAUAAUACCGCAUACGCCCUACGGGGGAAAGAGGCCCUCUUCUUGAAAGGUCUCACUAUUAGAUGAGCCCGCGUUAGAUUAGCUAGAUGGUGAGGUAAGAGCUCACCAUGGCGACGAUCUAUAGCUGGUCUGAGAGGAUGAUCAGCCACAUUGGGACUGAGACACGGCCCAG
RNAcentral lists this ribosomal RNA (312 nucleotides) under uncultured bacterium. RNAcentral's name for it is "bacterial SSU rRNA". It matches the Rfam family "Bacterial small subunit ribosomal RNA", at positions 30 to 334 of the family's 1533-position model. The record is from RNAcentral.